This 475-nucleotide ribosomal RNA is filed under the name uncultured bacterium. RNAcentral's name for it is "partial 16S ribosomal RNA". It matches the Rfam family "Bacterial small subunit ribosomal RNA", at positions 28 to 507 of the family's 1533-position model. The record is from RNAcentral.
GAUGAACGCUAGCGGCAGGCCUAACACAUGCAAGUCGAGGGAUAAGCCUUCGGGCUAAGACCGGCGCACGGGUGCGUAACGCGUAUACAAUCUGCCUUUUAUCCGGGGGAUAGCCCGAAGAAAUUUGGAUUAAUACCCUAUGGUAUAAGAGCACGGCAUCGUGCACUUAUUAAAGUUACGGCGGUAAAAGAUGAGUAUGCGUUCUAUUAGCUAGUUGGAGAGGUAACGGCUCCCCAAGGCGACGAUAGAUAGGGGUUCUGAGAGGGAGGUACCCCACACUGGUACUGAGGUACAGACCAGACUCCUACGGGAGACAGCAGUGAGGAAUAUUGGACAAGGGUCGGAGGACUGAUCCAGCCAUGCCGCGUGCAGGAGGACGGCCUUAGGGGUGGUAAACUGCUUUUGUAAGGGAAGAAUAAGGAGUACGUGUACUUUGAUGACGGUACCUGACGAAUAAGCAUCGGCUAACUCCGUG